AUUUUUUCUACAUUAUGGAUUUGAAUGAUGAAGGGUAUCUAAAGAAUGUGUUUUGGAUUGAUCCCAGAUCCAGAGCGGCAUAUGCUUAUUUUGGUGAUGUGGUUGUGGUUGACACAACAUGCGUGUCAAAAAAAUAUGACAUCCCACUUCUAGCAUUCUUUGGACUAAACCACCAUAAGCAGACUCUUUUGUUGGGCUGUGGUUUGCUUGCUGAUGAAAGUUUUGAGACAUAUGUUUGGUUACUGAGAGCAUGGCUAUCGUGUAUGUCAGGACGCCCUCCGCAAACUAUCAUCACAGAUCGGUGCAUGGCCUUGCAAAAUGCAAUAUCUGAGGUUUUUCCUCGGGCUCAACAUCGGCUUAAUCUGUCUAUUAUUUUGGGCAGCAUUUUCAAUACCGUAGGACAAGUGGGGGAAUCUGAAGUAUUCCAUGAGGUACUGUAUAAUACGGUGUAUAACUCUCUUAAAGUUGAUGAAUUUGAAGUUGCGUGGGAGGAGAUGGUCCAUCAAUUCGGAUUUAGGGGCUAUGGAUGGCUUCAAAGUGUGUACGAGGAUCGAGAACGAUGGGCUCCUAUUUAUAUGAAAGAUACAUUUUUUGCUGGAAUAUCUAUUGAUCAGCCUGGUGAGUUCAUGAGCCCCUUUUUUGAUGGAUUUGUACAUAAACAUACAAAUUUGAAAGAAUUUUUUGAUAUAUAUGAUUUUGUACUGCAAAAAAUGCGUCAGAAGGAAGUUCAUUGUGAUUUUGAGUCGAGAGAAUUUAGCCCCGUCUUGAGAACAGGGUGCAAUUAUGAGUUACAGCUAUCUAAAUUGUAUACUAAAGAAAUAUUCU
This 825-nucleotide long non-coding RNA is filed under the name Nicotiana benthamiana. RNAcentral's name for it is "long non-coding RNA (NBEN_LNC036170)". Lineage: Eukaryota; Viridiplantae; Streptophyta; Magnoliopsida; Solanales; Solanaceae. The record is from RNAcentral.